Molecule: ribosomal RNA, 497 nt
Filed under: uncultured bacterium
Lineage: Bacteria
Description: partial 16S ribosomal RNA
Rfam family: Bacterial small subunit ribosomal RNA
Source: RNAcentral
GAUGAACGCUGGCGGCGUGCCUAAUACAUGCAAGUCGAGCGAACGGACGAGAAGCUUGCUUCUCUGAUGUUAGCGGCGGACGGGUGAGUAACACGUGGAUAACCUACCUAUAAGACUGGGAUAACUUCGGGAAACCGGAGCUAAUACCGGAUGAUAUUUUGAACCGCAUGGUUCAAAAGUGAAAGACGGUCUUGCUGUCACUUAUAGAUGGAUCCGCGCUGCAUUAGCCAGUUGGUAAGGUAACGGCUUACCAAGGCAACGAUGCAUAGCCGACCUGAGAGGGUGAUCGGCCACACUGGAACUGAGGCACGGUCCAGACUCCUACGGGAGGCAGCAGUAGGGAAUCUUCCGCAAUGGGCGAAAGCCUGACGGAGCAACGCCGCGUGAGUGAUGAAGGUCUUCGGAUCGUAAAACUCUGUUAUUAGGGAAGAACAUAUGUGUAAGUAACUGUGCACAUCUUGACGGUACCUAAUCAGAAAGCCACGGCUAACUACGUG